Molecule: long non-coding RNA, 306 nt
Filed under: Gallus gallus (chicken)
Lineage: Eukaryota; Metazoa; Chordata; Aves; Galliformes; Phasianidae
Description: long non-coding RNA NONGGAT003073
Source: RNAcentral
CUUCCUGUGGAAACCUGUCCUAUGUCUGACUCACGAUGGGAAGUGCCGGUGCAAAGUCGGCGUGACGGACCUGAAGUGUGACCGGUGCAGUGAUGGGUACUACAGUGCCAACGGCACCUGCGAGCCGUGCCGGUGCAACAACCACUCCAACACCUGCGACCGCCUAACAGGCAGCUGCCUGCACUGCCAGGGCAACACGGAGGGGAAGCACUGCGAGCUCUGCAGGAGUGGUUUCUACAGGAGCGCCCACAGCUGCCAGCGCUGCCCCUGCUCCACCGUGGCAUCGACCGGCACCUGCCAGAUCCG